Schistocerca gregaria is the source of this 637-nucleotide long non-coding RNA. RefSeq lists it as uncharacterized. The record is from RefSeq and is a predicted model, not a curated record. The transcript has 3 exons. NCBI's taxonomy places the organism in Eukaryota, Metazoa, Arthropoda, Insecta, Orthoptera, Acrididae.
ACAAUUUUGAUGCAAAAGUGAACCUGAAAACAUGAUAAAAUGUGGACGCCUCUGAAGAAAGCUCCGUGUGUGUGGCCCGGUAGAUACAGACGAUACCUGAAACCCAAAUGCAAUGAACAAUUCAGACUUGGAGUACUUCAUUUGUGGAAACAGGUCAUGCAAUUUUGAUGCGAAAUGGAACCUGAAAACCUGACGAAAUGUGGACGCCACUGGAUAAAGAACAAUGUGUGUGACCUGCUAGAUACAGAUAACAAAUACCGAAGUGCAGUGAUUCUUUCGGACUUGGAAUACAUCAAUUAUGGAAACAGUACUCACAAGACAUUUACAGUGGGGUGUGCAGUUGAGAACAGUUCUCCAUCUACCCCUCAGUGCUCACCAGAAUUAUUCAAAGUGGGGCACUAAGCCAAUUCCAAGAAGCAGGCCAAGGAUGUCCUGGUAAGCAGCACAUUGUCAGUGCUGCGAGACAUACAGACAGCAAUGAAUGGGAGCAGUGCAGACGACAAGUUGGGCCAAUAUGUUGUAGCUGAGCUGAUUACAACUAAAAAUAGAAAAUUUAAGGCAGAGGCAAAGUGCCUUAUCAUGAAUGCCAUCAUGGGUGCCAUUCAGAAAGUUACUGGUUGUUGAUUUUUAAAUAAAA